Molecule: ribosomal RNA, 813 nt
Filed under: Triticum aestivum (bread wheat)
Lineage: Eukaryota; Viridiplantae; Streptophyta; Magnoliopsida; Poales; Poaceae
Description: partial small subunit ribosomal RNA
Source: RNAcentral
AUGGCCAUCGACCACGAGUCGCCCUUCAAGGAGCUCCGCCUCAAGAACAGGAGGAUCAUGGGAGGCGGCGCCCCCGAGCCGGACGAAGAGGAGGCGGAGGCGCAGGUGGCGGCGCCGGCGGCGGCGGGGGAGGAGGAGCAGUGGCCGCAGUGGCUGCGCCCGCUGCUGUCCGCGCGCUUCUUCGCGCAAUGCAAGACGCACACCGAGUCGCACCGCAGCGGCGAGUGCAACAUGUUCUGCCUCGACUGCGCCGCCGGCGCGGCCGCCGGCGCGGCGGCGCUGUGCUCGCUGUGCCUCGCGCACGCGCACCGCGGCCACCACACCAUCCAGAUCCGCCGCUCCUCCUACCACGACGUCAUCCGGGUGUCGGACAUCCAGCGCUUCAUGGACAUCGCCGGCGUGCAGACCUACGUCAUCAACAGCGCGCGCGUCGUCUUCCUCAACGAGCGCCCCCAGCAGAAGCAGCCCGGCAAGGCAGGCGGCGGCGGCGCCGGCAGCGCCAACCUCUGCGAGGUCUGCAGCCGCAGCCUGCUCGACAACUUCCGCUUCUGCUCCCUCGGCUGCAAGGUCACCGGCUGCUCCUCCGACGGGGGCGGCAACGACAAGGCGAGGACGAUGAUGCGGGCCAGCAGGCCCGGCCGCGCCAAGGGCUCGUCAGACUCGGAGGCGGCCUCCUCCUCCUCUCCCCUGCGCAAUGCCGGCAGGCAGAGCUUCACGCCGUCCACGCCGCCGCCGCCGCCGCCCCCAGCGGCCAAGCGGCGCAAGGGCAUCCCGCACCGGGCGCCGUUCGGCAACCUCAUCAUCGACUACUAG